AUGUGGCGUAUUGCCAAUGGGGAGGGAGGCCUCUGGCUCAUCCGUAAUAAGUACCUCCGUGGCCAACCUCUUGCCUUUUGCCAACGUACGGGUAGACCCUAGUUCUGGCAGUCCGUGAUCCAGCUUCUGCCCGUACUACGCAUCGGCACAUCCAUCUCGGUUGGCUCCGGGGCCUCGGCCUUGUUCUGGUUCGACCGCUGGCUUGGGGACUCCCCCCUGGCUGCGCGAUUCCCAGAACUAUUUGCCAUUGCGGCUGACCCUCGGGUCUCUGUCGAGACGGCCCUUAUUGACUUAGGGCGUCUCGCCUUCCGGCGCCCCUUUGGCCCCCUCGAGGUGGCCGCCUAGGACUCCCUCCUCCAAGACAUCGCACUUAUGCCGAUUGACGUCGAGGAGGACUGGGAUGUUCUUUCCUGGCGCCUCGAGCCCUCUGGCCGUUUCUCCACGAAGUCCCUGUACGGCGCCAUUGCUCCCUCGACGGCCCCGGAACCAUUUAGCCUGAUCUCGGACAUCCGACUUCCGCUGAAAAUCGGGAUCUUCCUGUGGCAAUGGAUCCGUGGACGCCUCCCCUCUGGGCUUGAAGUCCUCAAGCAUAAUGGCCCGGGUGAUGGGACGUGCCCCAUCUGUGGCACGAUUGAGGAUGCUAACCACAUCUUUUUCUCGUGCACUCGGCCCAGUUCCUUUGGGCCUGCUUCCGCGAAACGGUUGGCGGACAGUGGUGUAAUACCAACUUCCCCUACCUGCUUGCCGAGCUCAAUGCUUCCCCUACUCGCUACAGCCAUAUUAGAUGGUUGUGCGUUGGGGUUCUCGCCUGGACGCUUUGGAACAUUCGCAAUAAGCUUGUUAUUCAGAAGGUGCCUCUCCGACGUGCGACUGACGCAAUCUUCAAAUUGUGUGGCUACUUGCAGCUUUGGCGGCCGCUUAGCCGCCCCCAGGACCGGGACGUCAUCACCACCCUCCUCUCCGAUCUCCGCUCGAUGGCGCUCCGCGUGGCUCCCCCGCUGCCGCCUCCUCCUCCUGAGCCUGACUAGACCGCCUGGCGGCUGUAUGGCGUGUGUGUUUUGGGUUUAG
Molecule: ribosomal RNA, 1068 nt
Filed under: Triticum aestivum (bread wheat)
Lineage: Eukaryota; Viridiplantae; Streptophyta; Magnoliopsida; Poales; Poaceae
Description: partial small subunit ribosomal RNA
Source: RNAcentral